Molecule: transfer RNA, 58 nt
Filed under: Urocitellus parryii (Arctic ground squirrel)
Lineage: Eukaryota; Metazoa; Chordata; Mammalia; Rodentia; Sciuridae
Also listed under: 1 other name
Description: Spermophilus parryii (Arctic ground squirrel) tRNA
Rfam family: tRNA
About the family: Transfer RNA (tRNA) molecules are approximately 80 nucleotides in length.
Source: Rfam by way of RNAcentral
UAGCUUAGUUGGUAGAGUGCUUGUUUUGCAUGCACAAGGUCCUGGGUUCAAUUCCCAG